UUAAAUUGAAGAGUUUGAUCAUGGCUCAGAUUGAACGCUGGCGGCAGGCCUAACACAUGCAAGUCGAACGGUAACAGGAAGCAGCUUGCUGCUUUGCUGACGAGUGGCGGACGGGGGAGUAAUGUCUGGGAAACUGCCUGAUGGAGGGGGAUAACUACUGGAAACGGUAGCUAAUACCGCAUAACGUCGCAAGACCAAAGAGGGGGACCUUCGGGCCUCUUGCCAUCGGAUGUGCCCAGAUGGGAUUAGCUUGUUGGUGGGGUAACGGCUCACCUAGGCGACGAUCCCUAGCUGGUCUGAGAGGAUGACCAGCCACACUGGAACUGAGACACGGUCCAGACUCCUACGGGAGGCAGCAGUGGGGAAUAUUGCACAAUGGGCGCAAGCCUGAUGCAGCCAUGCCGCGUGUAUGAAGAAGGCCUUCGGGUUGUAAAGUACUUUCAGCGGGGAGGAAGGGAGUAAAGUUAAUACCUUUGCUCAUUGACGUUACCCGCAGAAGAAGCACCGGCUAACUCCGUGCCAGCAGCCGCGGUAAUACGGAGGGUGCAAGCGUUAAUCGGAAUUACUGGGCGUAAAGCGCACGCAGGCGGUUUGUUAAGUCAGAUGUGAAAUCCCCGGGCUCAACCUGGGAACUGCAUCUGAUACUGGCAAGCUUGAGUCUCGUAGAGGGGGGUAGAAUUCCAGGUGUAGCGGUGAAAUGCGUAGAGAUCUGGAGGAAUACCGGUGGCGAAGGCGGCCCCCUGGACGAAGACUGACGCUCAGGUGCGAAAGCGUGGGGAGCAAACAGGAUUAGAUACCCUGGUAGUCCACGCCGUAAACGAUGUCGACUUGGAGGUUGUGCCCUUGAGGCGUGGCUUCCGGAGCUAACGCGUUAAGUCGACCGCCUGGGGAGUACGGCCGCAAGGUUAAAACUCAAAUGAAUUGACGGGGGCCCGCACAAGCGGUGGAGCAUGUGGUUUAAUUCGAUGCAACGCGAAGAACCUUACCUGGUCUUGACAUCCACGGAAGUUUUCAGAGAUGAGAAUGUGCCUUCGGGAACCGUGAGACAGGUGCUGCAUGGCUGUCGUCAGCUCGUGUUGUGAAAUGUUGGGUUAAGUCCCGCAACGAGCGCAACCCUUAUCCUUUGUUGCCAGCGGUCCGGCCGGGAACUCAAAGGAGACUGCCAGUGAUAAACUGGAGGAAGGUGGGGAUGACGUCAAGUCAUCAUGGCCCUUACGACCAGGGCUACACACGUGCUACAAUGGCGCAUACAAAGAGAAGCGACCUCGCGAGAGCAAGCGGACCUCAUAAAGUGCGUCGUAGUCCGGAUUGGAGUCUGCAACUCGACUCCAUGAAGUCGGAAUCGCUAGUAAUCGUGGAUCAGAAUGCCACGGUGAAUACGUUCCCGGGCCUUGUACACACCGCCCGUCACACCAUGGGAGUGGGUUGCAAAAGAAGUAGGUAGCUUAACCUUCGGGAGGGCGCUUACCACUUUGUGAUUCAUGACUGGGGUGAAGUCGUAACAAGGUAACCGUAGGGGAACCUGCGGUUGGAUC
RNAcentral lists this ribosomal RNA (1535 nucleotides) under Escherichia coli. RNAcentral's name for it is "bacterial SSU rRNA". It matches the Rfam family "Bacterial small subunit ribosomal RNA". The record is from RNAcentral. Lineage: Bacteria; Pseudomonadati; Pseudomonadota; Gammaproteobacteria; Enterobacterales; Enterobacteriaceae.